RNAcentral lists this ribosomal RNA (253 nucleotides) under uncultured bacterium. RNAcentral describes it as "partial 16S ribosomal RNA". It matches the Rfam family "Bacterial small subunit ribosomal RNA", at positions 524 to 776 of the family's 1533-position model. The record is from RNAcentral.
GACAGAGGGUGCUAGCGUUGUUCGGAAUUACUGGGCGUAAAGGGCGCGUAGGCGGUUAUGUAAGUCAGGCGUAAAAUCCCUCAGCUUAACUGAGGACCUGCGUUUGAUACUGCAUAGCUAGAGAAUGGUAGAGGAGAGUGGAAUUCCUAGUGUAGAGGUGAAAUUCGUAGAUAUUAGGAAGAACACCAGUGGCGAAGGCGGCUCUCUGGACCAUUACUGACGCUAAGGCGCGAAAGCGUGGGGAGCAAACAGG